CUGGUUGAUCCGGCCAGUAGUAUACGCUUGUCUCUAAGAUUAAGCCAUGCAUGUCUAAGUAUAAAAGUAUUCUAUACUUGAAACUGCGAAUAGCUCAUUAAAUCAGUUAUAGUUUAUUUGAUGGUGCCUUACUACAUGGAUAACCGUAGUAAUUCUAGAGCUAAUACAUGCCAAGAAAACCCAAACUCACGUGCGGGUUGUAUUUAUUAGAUAAAAAACCAUUACUCGCAAGAGUUUUUGUGGUGAGUCAUAAUAACUGUUCGAAUCGCGGUGCAAACUGCGAUAGAUCAUUCAAAUUUCUGCCCUAUCAGCUCUCGACGGUAGUGUAGUGGACUACCGUGGCGUUAACGGGUAACGGGGAAUUAGGGUUCGAUUCCGGAGAGGGGGCCUGAGAAACGGCCACCACAUCCAAGGAAGGCAGCAGGCGCGCAAAUUACCCAAUCCUGAUACAGGGAGGUAGUGACAGGAAAUAACAAUACCGGGCAUUUACAUGUCUGGUAAUUGGAAUGAGUAUAUUUUAAAUCCCUAUACGAGGAUCAAUUGGAGGGCAAGUCUGGU
RNAcentral lists this ribosomal RNA (558 nucleotides) under uncultured eukaryote. Its description in RNAcentral is "SSU rRNA". It matches the Rfam family "Eukaryotic small subunit ribosomal RNA", at positions 4 to 565 of the family's 1831-position model. The record is from RNAcentral.